This 483-nucleotide ribosomal RNA is filed under the name uncultured bacterium. RNAcentral describes it as "partial 16S ribosomal RNA". It matches the Rfam family "Bacterial small subunit ribosomal RNA", at positions 28 to 507 of the family's 1533-position model. The record is from RNAcentral.
GACGAACGCUGGCGGCGUGCUUAACACAUGCAAGUCGAACGCUGAAGCUCAGCUUUUGUUGGGUGGAUGAGUGGCGAACGGGUGAGUAACACGUGAGUAACCUGCCCCCUUCUUUGGGAUAACGCCCGGAAACGGGUGUUAAUACUGGAUAUUCACUGGUCUUCGCAUGGGGGUUGGUGGAAAGGGUUUUUCUGGUGGGGGAUGGGCUCGCGGCCUAUCAGCUUGUUGGUGGGGUGAUGGCCUACCAAGGCUUUGACGGGUAGCCGGCCUGAGAGGGUGACCGGUCACAUUGGGACUGAGAUACGGCCCAGACUCCUACGGGAGGCAGCAGUGGGGAAUAUUGCACAAUGGGCGAAAGCCUGAUGCAGCGACGCCGCGUGAGGGAUGGAGGCCUUCGGGUUGUGAACCUCUUUCGCUCAUGGUCAAGCCGCAACAAUGGUUGUGGUGAGGGUAGUGGGUAAAGAAGCGCCGGCUAACUACGUG